CCCUUAGAUGUCCGGGGCCGCACGCGCGCUACACUGAAGGAAUCAGCGUGGCUUUCUCCCUGACCCGAAAGGGUUGGGAAACCCGUUGAAUCUCCUUCGUGAUAGGGAUUGGGGCUUGAAAUUGUUCCCCAUGAACGAGGAAUUCCCAGUAAGCGCGAGUCAUAAGCUCGCGUUGAUUACGUCCCUGCCCUUUGUACACACCGCCCGUCGCACCUACCGAUUGAAUGGUCCGGUGAAAUCUUCGGAUUGAGACUUUGUUUUCUUCACGGAAAACGCUGUUUUAAAAAGUUGAUUAAACCUUACCAUUUAGAGGAAGGUGAAGUCGUAACA
Molecule: ribosomal RNA, 330 nt
Filed under: uncultured eukaryote
Lineage: Eukaryota
Description: partial 18S ribosomal RNA
Rfam family: Eukaryotic small subunit ribosomal RNA
Source: RNAcentral